CGGCCUUGGUCUCCUGCUUGCUGGGGGUCCAUCUCUUCGCCUUUCAUACCGUCUGCUUUCAUAUUUGGAUGUCCUCCGCUCUUUUGGUUGGUAGGUUGGGUAAGUGCAUGGAAUUAUCUCUCCGUUUAUGUAUUUAUCACCUGAAUUGUGAAAGGAUUGAGAUUUUUUAUUUAAGAAGCAACAACUAAUUGAUUAUGCAAAUAACCAGCUGCAGACAAUAAUGUUGAACUAACCCCCGUAGUCUUUGUUCUUGACAUCGAUGUAGGAAUCAGGAAGCACCCACAGAACGCCGGGUAAACCUACAGGUAAUAGAACAAUAGUUUGAACCAGGGCAAUCCAAAAAUGUUUAGACUUGGUUAAAUACUGAGGCAACCAGUAUAUUAGCAAAUACCCUUGAACUUCUCUGAUGUUUCCUCGUCGACAGUGCACUGGAAACCAGUGUAGGUGGUUGUGCUGAAGGCAUACAUGUUCUUCUUGGCUUCCUCCAUGCUGUGAUUGCAAACAUAUGCUCAGUAUCAAGAAAAUGAACUAAAGGCAGAAAAUUACAAAACUGUAGGCCUGGUUUAUAGUAUAGCAAUGCUGAUUUCAGACAUAGCACCGAUGAUAACUUCACCAACGUGCAGUGACCAGCAAAGAAUACCUAAACAAAUAAUCAACCAUUCCUUGUGUUUACGCAAGAAAUUUUAAUCCUUGUGAAUCGUCAAGCAUAAACUGUGCAACAUAUAGACAUGUCUACCAAUCUACUACACACUUGUUUCUUCAACAAAUUAUCAUGCAAAAUUUGCAACCACCUAUAGAAUGUAAAGCUUUUUUACAUUUUACCAAAAACGUGCGCUCCAAUUAAAAUUUCGACUAUCAUAAUUUACAAUCGAAACAAAAUUUAUUAUGUUUGAGUGAAGCAUGAAACAAACAUUUCUCUCGAGAUUACUCUACCGACUUAGUCAGUCAGUCAGUCAGUCCUUGCAAAUUGGCAACCAAACUAGGUGAGUCAAAGAGAGGUGGAGAUCUUGACAAUGAGGAUGAGAAAUUUUACAUAAUUAUACCUGCCAAGGACGGUGGCGAGGGUGUUGAGGUAGGUGUCGAUCAUCUGCUCCCGCGUCGGGGCGGGGUCCUUGGGGAACUCCAUCACGAUCAGCCAGUGGUUGUAGUCGC
This 1152-nucleotide long non-coding RNA is filed under the name Oryza sativa (Asian cultivated rice). RNAcentral describes it as "long non-coding RNA (OSAT_LNC001444)". The record is from RNAcentral. Lineage: Eukaryota; Viridiplantae; Streptophyta; Magnoliopsida; Poales; Poaceae.